RNAcentral lists this long non-coding RNA (9887 nucleotides) under Vitis vinifera (wine grape). Its description in RNAcentral is "long non-coding RNA (VVIN_LNC006557)". Lineage: Eukaryota; Viridiplantae; Streptophyta; Magnoliopsida; Vitales; Vitaceae. The record is from RNAcentral.
AGCAACCCAUGCCCAUAUUAGGAGAGGAUCAUGUUGGGAAUAAGGAUCUCGGCUGAUUCUUUAGGGUGGGGAAGUGGGAAGGAGGGAAGCGAGCUAAGAGAGGGGGAAGCACUUGGGGUUCUGACAGGAAGAAAGGAGUAGAGGGGGACUCUGAUUUCCGGAGGAAGAAACGAGGAACAACAGAGGGAGGAAGGAAACACAAUAUUUGAAGCCAGGCAGAUUAUCACUUGAAGGGAGUUUCUUCCAGGUAUGGUUACCCUGACAUCUUUAUCUUCUUGCCUCUAUUUGAUACUACAUUGUUUUUCGGUAUAUUUCUGAGUGUUAUUUGAUUGCUUGGUGCCGACGUCAAGAGUUGUUCGUAAAUCUUUCUGAAUAUGUUUAUGUAGAUAUAGGCUCUGUUUUGGGUUUCUUUGGUUUCCCCUUGUACCUGACUAAUCCAGGGAUUUAUUGCUGAAAUCGAUAUCCGAGAAUCAUGUUCUUAUACUCUAGUAAACCCACCUGUUUUUCUUAGCUCAUGGAUGUCUCCUGAAAUGAGGUUCUCUAUGUAAUCACAAUUUGCUUUGUUUUCCCAUGUAUUCUUCCCCUCAAGUUCUAUCUGCUCCUAUCUCUACUUUUUCUCCUUUGUGCCGGCGUUUCGAUCCAAGUUUCCACCUGUCUCACGCGUUGGACUUUAGUUGGAUGUCUUCCAGUCGUCUUUUGCUUUCUGCAGCCUGUUGAAUACCUAAGAGUUGCCUUUGUUUAGCAAUAAAUGUUGUUUCUAUGGGUCAGUGGGUUUUCGGUUCAAGUUGAGACCUACCAUGCGAGAGGAACAGAUAUGUUGAUAGUGAAGAAAGAUUCCGAGGUAAUGCUGAUGUGGUUUUGAGUCUGGUGGCAAUAUAUGGCAUGGUUGCUUUCGAUGGUAAGUGGUCUGAAGGGUCUGGUUCUAUGGGUUUUGGAUGUGACUGACAACCUACUCUAUUUGUAUCGGAUGACCGUUUCCCAUGCAAACUCUCUUUAUGCCCCUCUCUAGCCCCUAGAAAUUACAAGUUCAGAAUCACUGCCAAUGGUCUGCUGCUAUUGCACUUGAUUUGAUCUCAAGUUACCUGAAUGUAAUUGAUCCUAAACGAAAAUUCCAGAAUACCACUAGACCUCUGGGGGUUGUAUGUGGCAACAGAAAAUGCCCUUGUCAAAGGAGCUUGUGGAGUAGGUUUGGGUUUCUCAUGCCAAGAUCUUCUUACAAGGUUUGAAGCUGUGAAUGAACGUAACUUGGCUCAAGAAACAUUCAAGAAGCAGUGAAGAUGUGUAAGGAAGGGACAAUUUUCUAUGUGGUCAACAGUUAUCGAUUCAUAAUGUAAAGGUCUUGAACGAUGAAACCGUACUGGUAAGGAACAAAGUUACAUAAUGCACUGUUCAACGAAGGAGAGCCAAAUGAUGCCGGUAAGUAGGAGUUGAUUUGGAUCGUUGGGGAACCGGUCCAAGUGUUGGUCAAAUUGAUAAAUUCUUGUGGAUUCGGCUUGAUGAUUGAUAGCACUCUAACUUCUGUGAGACACGUGACAAUCCCUGGGCGUACUGUUCGUUGUUUAGGCGUCAUUACUGAAGAUCUUUUCAAGGAUAACUCUUCAAUAAGAGAUUUAAAGCCAAAAAAGCAAAAAAAAAAAAAAGAAAAUCUUCUGCUAGAUGAGAAUGGAAACCUAAAAGUUUCAAACUUUGGAUGAGCGAGUUUGCUGAACUUAAGCACCAAGAUGGUUGGUUUCAGACAACUAAGAGGCACACACCAGGAGCUCCAAGUUCAGAAUCUUCACCAUUGCCAUUUCCCAUGGCCUCUUUCUCCAUUCUUUACCAUUCUUCAUUCAAGCGCCGACUUCUGGAAAGUAACCGGAUCAUAAUAUGUUCCCUUCUGUGCUAAAAUCAUGCACUUUGAUGCAGGACUUGAGUUUCAGUUGUGCGCAGAGAUUUUGUGAUUCCAAGAUGAUCGGUGGAAUUCCUGAACUAUGGAGAUGUUGUCGUAGAUGGCAACCCAGGUUUUCCAGCCUGGUUAUAGACUGUUAAAUAUGAAGCACAGUUAAAAUCUGAUCCCGAAUGAGGGCCAGUAACACGAUGGCAAAGCUGAUGGCAAUCCGGCAUCGACUCAUUCCACGACACAAGUAUCCCUCAUCGAGAAGGUCCUCCCCAUGUGCAUGUGAUCCAUGCAUGCAUAGUUACCCAAAGCCUUUGCAAAACAUUCCCGCAAAAUCCUUCCUUCAUCAAAUCCAAAUCCCAAGCCAAACAACCCCGUGCCUAAAACCUCAGGACAAGCCGACCAUAUCUCUAACCUUCAUACAACCAAAAUCAUCACCCCUCACGUCCCAUCUUGAAACUGUAUAAUACCUGGAAAGAAUCCUGUCCUAAUUGGUGGUCCCCGAUCAGAAAAGCUCUCGGAAAAGUUUGUUCUAUUCUAGAUUAUCAGAAGCUUUCUUCUUGAACCUCGGGUUAACUGAUCUCUGAAUCAUUGCUGAUGAUGUCAAGUGUUCUGAUGAAGCUGAUGCCAUAAAUCCCACUCUUGAUAUUUUGAAUUGGGAUAUCCUUCACCUGACUGAACUCUUGUCAUACUCCGAUUCAGAGUUUGCUUACAGCAGCAAGAAGUCCAAGUCAAAUUCUAAAGUGGUGCCUCAGGAGCCGUAGCGGGGGUCUGAACCUUAAGAAUUGAAAAUGAAAAAGAUGAGAGCAAGGGAAAUGAAAAUAAAGAAGAUGAAUGAGGAGCUUUCUAGCUAAAAGCUUGUUGUGGGAGAUGUGUUUAGAGUGUUGAAAAAUUACAUAGAGAACCAGUUUGCUUGAAGUUACUCUACGUAAUGAUUGGUGGUCAAUAUGUGAGAAUAACAGGUUUGUCCUUCUCAAGAGAAUUUCUUGUGUCCAAAAAUGAUGAGUUCAUCUAUCAUUCUACAUGGGUGAGAGAUUAAGACCUGACCCUAUCUUGGCUUCUCUCACUUCUUUGGAGAAAGGUGCAGGUGAAAUGAGACCUGAUCAUCUCUCUGGAAGAAAAACUAAGGGGAAAAAAAAAAACAACUCUACAAUCUUCCUGUGUCGGUGUAAGUCUCUGAACCCGACCAAAGAUCCAAAAUCAUGGACGAAAAAUUGCUGGAAUUGCAGAGACAGUUGAAGUUUGCACAGCAAGUGACAUUGAGUAUUAGUUUAUCUGAACAAACGGUCUAGAAACUCCAUGAGCUUCGAAUCAUUAUUGACUUCGACCUUUUCCGCACCGUCUUUGGAAAAGAAUACUAUCACUUUUGAGAAAUUAAGGCAUGAAAUGGCAGCGAAAAUCAUGAAAUUAGGACGUGUUUCUUUGAUUGAUUUUGCAAACAUUACUAGAGUUGAUUUCUAUCAUGUUGAAAAGCAAGUGCAAAGUACGUAUGGUCUCUGAUGAUCCGGGUCUUGCAUUAGUUUGAGGAAAAAUAGUAUUAGACUCAUAUUGGGAUAAUGUAGCAGACGAAAUUAGUGAGAGGUUUCAAGAACGUAGUCAAAUUGCUUUGGCAGAGCUUGCUGCAUAGUUACAUGUCGGCUCAGGAUUAUUCACGUGCGCGUAUGGGGAAACUCCAUCUCAUUUCAGCUUCACUCUUCGAGUCCCAUGAUCUGGUCAAGUUUAUCAUCAUGUAGCAAUGGAAUUCAUGUUCAGUUGCCCAUGCAAAUAUCUGGACUUCCUAGACUUUCACCCUAUCAUCUAUAUAUAGUUCCAUCUAUCCAACAACCUUUUCCAUGUGCAUGCAUUUUUAUUCUGCAUGGCCACUGCCACUUGUAGUGCCAACGAAAGCUUUGAUGCCAACAAUGUUAGUUCAAGAACACAAAGAUAAAACAAUCACACAUACGGUACACGAGGUUUUAACGUGGUUCGGCCAACCAUGCCUACGUCCACGGAUGAGAGAGAAUAAUUCCACUAUACAAUAGAGAAUAUUACAGAGGAUAAAACCAGAUACAACUAUUGGGUUCCCGAAACAUCCCAUGUUUCCCCACUCCUUGUAUCCAUACCUUACUACGAGUCCUCUCGCUCCACCAGGUACCUCCCGUUCUUCCUCACAUCUCUAUCCACCUCGUAUAGUCUCUAUAGGCCCAUCUCCAUCUCAUAACUUUUUCCCCUCAUGACCUAGAAUAUUUAUAGAGAUAUUUCCAACAACCUUCCUUAUUCUAUAAGGAAAUCUAAUAUUACAAUAAUAUAUCAACCUAGAAAUAUUCUAUAUAAUAUUCUUUACAAAAAAGGAAUCUAUACUAAUUAGGAAUUUGGGACACUUCCUAACAAUCUCCACCUUGGACCAAAUUACAUGAAGUUAAUCUUCAAUCUCUCCAUGACACAAACCUUUUUGUAUCAUAUCACCACGAAAGAGCAAUCGACUCCACCUUCAAUGAAAAUUCCUUUUGUUUUCAUCUUGUGUGUUUUGUGAUCUUUUACUCUUCCAGAAAUCUUCAACCCAAGCUCUGAUACCAAUUGUAGUGCCAACGAAAGCUUUGAUGCCAACAAUGUUAGUUCAAGAACACAAAGAUAAAACAAUCACACAUACGGUACACGAGGUUUUAACGUGGUUCGGCCAACCAUGCCUACGUCCACGGAUGAGAGAGAAUAAUUCCACUAUACAAUAGAGAAUAUUACAGAGGAUAAAACCAGAUACAACUAUUGGGUUCCCGAAACAUCCCAUGUUUCCCCACUCCUUGUAUCCAUACCUUACUACGAGUCCUCUCGCUCCACCAGGUACCUCCCGUUCUUCCUCACAUCUCUAUCCAUCUCGUAUAGUCUCUAUAGGCCCAUCUCCAUCUCANNNNNNNNNNNNNNNNNNNNNNNNNNNNNNNNNNNNNNNNNNNNNNNNNNNNNNNNNNNNNNNNNNNNNNNNNNNNNNNNNNNNNNNNNNNNNNNNNNNNUNUCCAGAAAUCUUCANNCAAGCUCUGAUACCAAUUGUAGUGCCAACGAAAGCUUUGAUGCCAACAAUGUUAGUUCAAGAACACAAAGAUAAAACAAUCACACAUACGGUACACGAGGUUUUAACGUGGUUCGGCCAACCAUGCCUACGUCCACGGAUGAGAGAGAAUAAUUCCACUAUACAAUAGAGAAUAUUACAGAGGAUAAAACCAGAUACAACUAUUGGGUUCCCGAAACAUCCCAUGUUUCCCCACUCCUUGUAUCCAUACCUUACUACUAGUCCUCUCGCUCCACCAGGUACCUCCCGUUCUUCCUCACAUCUCUAUUCACCUCGUAUAGUCUCUAUAGGCCCAUCUCCAUCUCAUAACUUUUUCCCCUCAUGACCUAGAAUAUUUAUAGAGAUAUUUCCCACAACCUUCCUUAUUCUAUAAGGAAAUCUAAUAUUACAAUAAUAUAUCAACCUAGAAAUAUUCUAUAUAAUAUUCUUUACAAAAAAGGAAUCUAUACUAAUUAGGAAUUUGGGACACUUCCUAACACCACUGUGUCUUCUGCUCAGUCCAGUUAGAAAGAUUGAGAUCCUACCUUAUGGCUUAUCUGAAAAGCUUGUAGUUUUGGAGGUGGCUCUGCCGGUAGUUCGCAUCAUAAAUUCUGCAAGAUUUACAUCCCUCAUACUGAACCCAGUGCCUUUGGUCCUACAUUUACCAAGCAAAGGACAUAGAGAGUGUGAGUGUUUAGCUAGGUUGGCAAUUCCGGACAAAAUUCCUAAGUGUCCCCUAACUCAGCUUCCCAAUUCCUCUUCGGACUACUUGACUUUGAAGACUAAGAUUUUGCUAAGAGGCCGAGGUAUGUUGCCGAGUGUGUGGUAAUUGAAUGUGAAUCAACCAGGUUUUUAAUCUUUAAAUGGGUUAGAAAGUUGUGAGAAAUGGUUUUUGGUGCAAGACUUUUAUUCCCCUGUUUCUGGAUCGAUCUAGGUGCAGGGGUGGAUCGAUCCAACUAUUUUUUUUAGAUCAAAUCUCAGCCAUUAGAUUAAGGGCUUAUUUUUACACUUUAAAAAACAAUAUUCUCUCAUUUUUCUGUAGAGUGAUUGUAGAAAACGUGGAGAGAGUAGCCACUCCAUGUGUUCUUCAUUUUCUCAUUUGUUUUCCUAAUUUGGGGUUUUUGAUUGCAAAGAAAAUCCAUUUCUCUUAAUGUUUUCCAAACUAGUUUUUAAUGGAUUUUCUUGAGCAAUCAAUCGGUUGAUUCAUUCCUUCAUUCAUAUCUCAAUCUCUCAUUCUAUUUGGGUUUGUGCAAAAGCCCAUUUGCUUCUUGUGUGGAUUCAAGAAGAGGCCGAAUUGAGCUUGGUGCGGACUUUAAGUGUGCUCUGAAAGAAGAAGGUGAGAAGAUGAAAGUGAAGGUACUAGUCAAGUAGUCCGGGAAGGAUUGGUUGGCUUGAGCUAGGUAAAACCUUAUACUUAGUUUUUAUUCUUCAUAGUGGAGUUUUUCAAUCAGUGAUAGACCCGUGGUUUUUUAUCUCUUUGGAGGUUUUCCACAUUAAAAAUCCGGUGUUCAUUGUCUCUUUCUCUCACUCUACACUUUGAAUUAUUUUCUGUUUUUGAUAUCAUUGAUUACUUGGGCAUACAUGUUAAAUGGAAGAAAUAUGAGGUGAUAUAAGUGUGAUGAUCCAUGGAAUAUCCUUAAUAAUUUUUCUGUUCAUUUUGUUUAAUGAUAUCAUGGAGUCAAUUGAUAUGAGUUGAGGAGAUGAUUGUUCUUUUGAUUUAUUUUUGAGGAGUGUUGAAGCAUUUGGAUGUGUUUUGCAUUUAUAAAUUAUUGGAGGAGUGUUGAUGCAUACAUUAUUGCCUGUGAAUGCUAUGCUUUGUUGAAAAGUUGUUGGAAGAGAAGUUUAUUGACAUUGAGAUAGUCUAAGGUUAGGUAAUCUUUGUUGGGAGAAUUAUUAAAUUAUUCUACAACACCUAUUCACCCCCCUCUAGGUGUAGUCCAUUAUUGAGAUUCAUCUUUUCAGAGAGGUUCAACGCCAUACUUAAAGAUCAUAGUCCUGAGUAACCCGGAUUCAUACCUGAUGUUAGUGGAGAAUAUUCUGCGUCAUCUUAUGCAAGGAAGAGGGCAAAGGAUCCUGGGUCCCUCACUUCUUAGUAUAGCGUAUGCAUUACAGAAGGAACUUCUCUGCAUCCAUGCUGGAAAAAAGCAUACGUAGAGUCUGUGCUUCAUGAUCAGACUGGAAAGAAAGACCAUUCUAGAUUUCUAACAGCCUUCACGUCAUCAGUUAUAAUUGAAAAUUCUUACCGUUAGAUAAAAUCGAACCAUUCAUGGGAAUUUUAUUGGAAAUCAUGAUAGAGUUGAAUGCGGGAAAUGAUAUGCCUCACCUUAGGCUAUGUGAAUCAAGCUCUGCUAUGGCAAGUCGAUUAUAUGGUUGGGUUAGGUUUGCUUUAUCCCUUGGGAUAUCAAAGACGAUUUGUGGAUACACAUAAAUAGGUCUUACAAGAUUCCAGAACAUGGCUUAAUUUGAAGCUGAAAUCAUCACCUGAUAGAGUCUAGUAGGCUAUCAUUGACUACCAAGCUAUGUUGUUUUAGGACAUCCAAAGCUCAAGUACCUAGCACUAGCAAUGCAAUCUCGAUUGCACCCUGAGCCCUCACUCUUGCAUGGCUUGCAUGGCCACCCUCCCGUGCAUCAUUUUAAAACCCGUGUGUCUCAUUCCCUGUUCUUCUCCUUGCUUUCAAAAAUCCGAUUCUCAAAAUUCUUGUUUUCAAAUAACUUUUAAUUUCUUAACUUUUUGCACCUCCCUAGAAAUUCUCUUAGGUCAAUAAAAUCCCAUUUUCCAAAUUAAUUUGCCUCCACUUCUCAUCUUGGCAUGCAUUCUUAUUUUUAUUUAUGAAAAAAUAAAAUGGGCCUUGGUAGAGGCUGACAUCCAUGAUAUUUUCUUAAGAUAAUGAUUCAAGUGAUACGAUUUGUUUGAUAUUUGUUGAACUAUGAUUCAUAUUGUGAUACAAAUGAGAUUUUUUUAUUCUUAUUGAUGGACUAACCUUGUGUCCCAUUGAAGCACUCAGUUUGCUACCUACGUACACUUCCUAUCCUUCAAAUUUCAAAAUUCUAUGAGUAUGUGUAUUAGUGAGAACUCUAUUUUUGGCAUGUUCUGUGCUUCAUUUUUUUUUAACUAACUAUGAUGUCUUGUGAUAAGACUUGAGAAGUAGUCCAGGUACACACCCUAACUUUUCUUUAUGAUUGUGAUUUGAUUUUUUGUUUGGCAUGCUAGUUUUGAAAUCACCUUAACCCACUAUGGUAUCCUCAAUCAAUUAAUUAAUUGUCAUACUUCCCUUAACUUAGCUAGUGGAGACCUCUUUAGGGCUUAAAGGGGUGUUAUCUCUUUAAGGUACCUUCCUAAUAGGUAACCUGAUACUCGGACUUAGACUCUGGUUUUUCGAGGACAUAUUUUUCCAAAACUUUGGAGUCACUUUGUUUCAGGGUUUUUUUUCUUAUUUUAUUUUCCCUCUUAAAAUAAAAUAAAAUAGGUAGCGACUCCAAUUUUACUAAAACUAAGUUUUCACCAUUAAAAAGCAAAUCUCAUCGAUGAGUGGGAGCGCACAUGAAAAAUGCAGGUCCGCAUGAUCAUUUAUGAGGCCACACAUGGUCCCUCAACUUGGGAUAAUUUUGUGUUGGUUGGUAGAUAUUCAUGAAGGGCUUUGUAGGGGACAUGUAAGGUGAUAGUUCUAAUCUUAUUACUAACCCAUAACGUAAAGAGACUCUAGACUCCAUGUGUAAAAGUGCGAUAGAGCCAAAGAUUUGUAUUUGUUUUGCGUACACCCUUGAAGGAGCCCUCGCCCUUAGUUGCUUUUUAGCCAUAUUCUUAAUGGGGGUUCAACAUUACAAUAUCACUCCCACUCACUAAUUAUCUCUCUAAAAGAUAAGUCUAUUAAGAAAGUUGAGGGUGUGUCAAAUCCCCAAGUGCAAGGAUUUCAAUUACAAGUUGGUGCAUACUAAGUAUCACUCCAUAUAUGUUCUUACUUAAGAUGGAUUUGGGAAAACUUUUGAGGGAUAUAAAAUAAAUGUUUUGAAAUACAUUUCUUGAAAAUGAAAGAUGGAAUUGUCUAAAAUAGCAUCAAGGAUAAUAAAUCCACUAAGAUCAUAGUUUUCAACUACCAAACCUUCAUAUCAACGUAUUUUUUUAGGCUUACAAUAGAGGAAAACUAUAACUAAACCAUUGAUAGAAACUAUGUGAUCCAAUAUAGGUUUUGCACUAUAAUAUACUAUGUCUAACUCAGACUAAGCAAUUCCUUCAACUCAAACUUGCUCCCAAGGUUGUUUGAAUUACGACCUUUCACAACCAAUGCAACAAACAUUUAAUAUAGUUAGGGCUUGCUUUAAGCUAUUCGUUGUGUUCUCUACUUGGAUGCAUUGAAAGCCAUUUAAUUAUGCUUAAACAUACUCCUAAGGAUGCUUAAAUUUUUUCAAAGCAAAAUGAAAAUAGUUUCAACAUCAAGUGAUCCAAGCUAUAGUUAAACUCUUUAAAAGUUUAACAAACUUCCUCAAACUUAGUUAAAUAGACAUAAGGGUUUUAACCCUUCAUUCCAUAAAAUUGAGGUAAAAGUUAAAUCAUUUAAGGUUAAAUACUAAUAGCUGGAGCAUUUUAUGGAAAUAAAAUACAAGAAAGAACACUAACUUUAGGGGUUUAAAAGCAAUCCCUUGGAGUUCUAACAAGGGGAGCUUCUUGAUUGAAAUUUUCAUUCACAUCUCUAUCAUGGUCUGAUUACUACCCAAAAAGUGCUAUUUUGCACCUUUAAUUCAUUAUGUUUUAAGCACUUUUGUGUAGUAGUUCUCCAUCUUUAUUCCAAUUGGCAUGUUAAGGACCUAGCAAUGACUUCUAAUCAUAUUUGUGGCUAUUUUUAGUGUUUUGAUAGCUUUUUGGAUCAUUAAGACAAGCCAAGUAAAGGAGAGAAGCAAAGAGGAAAAACAAACAGAAUGAAGAAAACAGAGGACAGCAGCUGCAGUCUUCCUUCGUACUUUUGGAGCACUUUUCAAAGUCCAUUUUCUACAUGC